GGAAAGGUGGUAGAGUGGUCGAUUACAGCGGUCUUGAAAACCGCCGUACCGCAAGGUACCGGGGGUUCGAAUCCCUCCCUUUCCG
Molecule: transfer RNA, 85 nt
Filed under: Bacteroidia bacterium
Lineage: Bacteria; Pseudomonadati; Bacteroidota; Bacteroidia
Also listed under: 2 other names
Description: tRNA-Ser
Rfam family: tRNA
About the family: Transfer RNA (tRNA) molecules are approximately 80 nucleotides in length. Their secondary structure includes four short double-helical elements and three loops (D, anti-codon, and T loops).
Source: RNAcentral